CUUUACUAUAAGCACUAGAACCUUGAAACACACAUUGUAGCUAUGAGCAUAUGUGCGACAGUGCAUUAUUUGGAAUUUUGAUCUGAACCCUGGGUCAAAAGUUAUGGGGGUUGGGGUGGGGCCGGGUCAGAGAUUGUCACUCAUUUUUAUGUCCCCCACUAUAGUAGUGGGGGACAUAUUGUUUUUGCCCUGUCUGUUGGUCUGUCUGUUGGUCUGUCUGUUGGUCUGUUUGCGCCAACUUUAACAUUUUGCAAUAACUUUUGCUAUAUUGAAGGUAGCAACUUCAUAUUUGGCAUGCAUGUGUAUCUCAUGAAGCUGCACAUUUUGAGUGGUGAAAGGUCAAGGUCAUCCUUCAAGGUCAGAGGUCAAAUAUAUGUGGCCAAAAUCGCUCAUUUUAUGAAUACUUUUGCAAUAUUGAAGAUAGCAACUUGAUAUUUGGCAUGCAUGUGUAUCUCAUGGAGCUGCACAUUUUGAGUGGUGAAAGGUCAAGGUCAUCCUUCAAGGUCAGAGGUCAAAUAUAUGUGGCCAAAAUCGCUCAUUUUAUGAAUACUUUUGCAAUAUUGAAGAUAGCAACUUGAUAUUUGGCAUGCAUGUGUAUCUCAUGGAGCUGCACAUUUUGAGUGGUGAAAGGUCAAGGUCAAGGUCAUCCUUCAAGGUCAGAGGUCAAAUAUAUGUGGCCCAAAUUGCUUAUUUUAUUAAUACUUUUGCAAUAUUUAAGAUAGCAACUUGAUAUUUGGCAUGCAUGUGUAUCUCAUGGAGCUGCACAUUUUGAGUGGUGAAAGGUCAAGGUCAAGGUCAUCCUUCACAAGGUCAAGGUCAUCCUACAAGGUCAAACAUCAUAUAGGGGGACAUUGUGUUUCACAAACACAUCUUGUUUUAUGU
Dreissena polymorpha is the source of this 882-nucleotide long non-coding RNA. RefSeq lists it as uncharacterized. Lineage: Eukaryota; Metazoa; Mollusca; Bivalvia; Myida; Dreissenidae. The transcript has 3 exons. The record is from RefSeq and is a predicted model, not a curated record.